CCUACGGGAGGCUGCAGUGGGGGAUAUUGCACAAUGGGGGGAACCCUGAUGCAGCGACGCCGCGUGGGUGAAGGAGUGCUUCGGCAUGUAAAGCCCUAUCGGCAGGGAAGAAGCAAGACGGUACCUGACUAAGAAGCCCCGGCUAACUACGUGCCAGCAGCCGCGGUAAUACGUAGGGGGCGAGCGUUAUCCGGAUUCACUGGGUGUAAAGGGAGCGUAGACGGCCAUGCAAGCCAGGGGUGAAAGCCCGGGGCCCAACCCCGGGACUGCCCUUGGAACUGGGCGGCUAGAGUGCGGGAGGGGCAGGCGGAAUGCCUGGUGGAGCGGUGAAAUGCGUAGAUAUCAGGAGGAACGCCGGCGGCGAAGGCGGCCUGCUGGACCGCGACUGACGUUGAGGCUCGAAAGCGUGGGGAGCGAACAGGAUUAGAUACCCCGGUAGUC
RNAcentral lists this ribosomal RNA (441 nucleotides) under uncultured bacterium. RNAcentral describes it as "partial 16S ribosomal RNA". It matches the Rfam family "Bacterial small subunit ribosomal RNA", at positions 338 to 795 of the family's 1533-position model. The record is from RNAcentral.